GGACGAUUAGCUCAAUUGGCAGAGCAUCUCAUUUACACUGAGAGGGUUGCAGGUUCGAGUCCUGCAUCGUCCA
RNAcentral lists this transfer RNA (73 nucleotides) under Negativicutes bacterium. RNAcentral's name for it is "tRNA-Val". It matches the Rfam family "tRNA". Rfam says of the family: Transfer RNA (tRNA) molecules are approximately 80 nucleotides in length. Their secondary structure includes four short double-helical elements and three loops (D, anti-codon, and T loops). Further hydrogen bonds mediate the characteristic L-shaped molecular structure. tRNAs have two regions of fundamental functional importance: the anti-codon, which is responsible for specific mRNA codon recognition, and the 3' end, to which the tRNAs corresponding amino acid is attached (by aminoacyl-tRNA synthetases). tRNAs cope with the degeneracy of the genetic code in two manners: having more than one tRNA (with a specific anti-codon) for a particular amino acid; and 'wobble' base-pairing, i.e. permitting non-standard base-pairing at the 3rd anti-codon position. The record is from RNAcentral. Lineage: Bacteria; Bacillati; Bacillota; Negativicutes.